GACGAACGCUGGCGGCGUGCUUAACACAUGCAAGUCGAACGGAAAGGCCCUGCUUUUGUGGGGUGCUCGAGUGGCGAACGGGUGAGUAACACGUUAGUAACCUGCCCUUGACUUUGGUAUAACUUCAGGAAACUGGGGCUAAUACCGGAUAGGAGCUCCUGCUGCAUGGUGGGGGUUGGAAAGUUUCGGCGGUUGGGGAUGGACUCGCGGCUUAUCAGCUUGUUGGUGGGGUAGUGGCUUACCAAGGCUUUGACGGGUAGCCGGCCUGAGAGGGUGACCGGCCACAUUAGGACUGAGAUACGGCCCAGACUCCUACGGGAGGCAGCAGUGGGGAAUAUUGCACAAUGGGCGGAAGCCUGAUGCAGCAACGCCGCGUGCGGGAUGACGGCCUUCGGGUUGUAAACCGCUUUCGCCUGUGACGAAGCGUGAGUGACGGUAAUGGGUAAAGAAGCACCGGCUAACUACGUG
Molecule: ribosomal RNA, 468 nt
Filed under: uncultured bacterium
Lineage: Bacteria
Description: partial 16S ribosomal RNA
Rfam family: Bacterial small subunit ribosomal RNA
Source: RNAcentral